AGGUGUAGCAAUGAUGAGCCACUAUAUGAAAAUGAGCAUGCCAUAACUCAGCAUUCCAAACAACACAAUAAACUCACCUGAACUUAUUUGCGCAUCCCGUAGGAUCAUCUUGGUAUUUCACAACAGUGCAACAUUUCUCAAAACAUAAUUUAAUCAUGGCAUGAAGUGCAUGAAUCAAUUCAAAAGCAUUUUUGGAAACUAUCAAUCAUAUAUAUAUAAAGGAAAAGACCCUCUCACCUGAAGUCCGUGUUACAACUCCUUAGCAUGAAUAUUGAGACGUCACGAAUGAUCGGCGCCUAGAACAAUUAUCAAAUCAUGUCUUAGAUUUCUUAUCAAUAGAAUACGUAACUUACAUAAAACACAUCCCCAAGGACAUUCUAGAAUGAUUUGAAACCCAUUGACCAAAAGUCAAUCGUCGGUCAAAGGUCAGCGG
This 433-nucleotide long non-coding RNA is filed under the name Malus domestica (apple). Its description in RNAcentral is "long non-coding RNA (MDOM_LNC010537)". The record is from RNAcentral. Lineage: Eukaryota; Viridiplantae; Streptophyta; Magnoliopsida; Rosales; Rosaceae.